UCAGACGAUGCGUCAUGCAUAUCAAUAAGCGGAGGAAAAGAAACUAACAAGGAUUCCCUCAGUAACGGCGAGUGAAGCGGGAAGAGCUCAAAUUUGAAAUCUUGAAAGGUCACCUUUCACGAAUUGUAGUUUAAAGAAGUGUUUUCUGUUACGAUCGUAAUAUAAGUUCUUUGGAAUAGGACAUCACAGAGGGUGAGAAUCCCGUCUAUGAUUGCGAUUUGUAGCUUUGUGAUACACUUUCAAAGAGUCGGGUUGUUUGGGAAUGCAGCCCAAAACGGGAGGUAAAUUUCUUCUAAGGCUAAAUAUUGGCGAGAGACCGAUAGCGAACAAGUACCGUGAGGGAAAGAUGAAAAGAACUUUGAAAAGAGAGUUAAAUAGUACGUGAAAUUGUCAAAAGGGAAGCGUUUAACACCAGUGUUGUUUUCUGAAAAUCAACCUCUGUUAGCUUUAUGCAUGUUUGUUUAGACCUAAUCAGCUAUCUUGCAUGUUCUAUUGUUUGCAGUGGUGCACUUUUCAGUUUACAGGUCAACAUCAGUUUUUUUUUACCGUAAAAAAGUUAAAGAAAGGUAGCUCAUGGCUCCGGUCGUGAGUGUUAUAGUCUUUUUCCUAUGCGGUAGGAGAGACUGAGGUCUGCAGUGUAGGCUAUUUGGCUAGAUACUCAGGUGCUAUGUGAUACCAUUUCAUAAACAACUUGUUGAUUAUGUUUUGUCUAUUGCAUACUCGCUUGUACUAUCAUACCUACGCUUAGGAUGUUGAAGACUCUACAGAGAUA
Molecule: ribosomal RNA, 772 nt
Filed under: uncultured Neocallimastigales
Lineage: Eukaryota; Fungi; Neocallimastigomycota; Neocallimastigomycetes; Neocallimastigales
Description: partial large subunit ribosomal RNA
Rfam family: Eukaryotic large subunit ribosomal RNA
Source: RNAcentral